Molecule: ribosomal RNA, 517 nt
Filed under: uncultured bacterium
Lineage: Bacteria
Description: bacterial SSU rRNA
Rfam family: Bacterial small subunit ribosomal RNA
Source: RNAcentral
AGGGUUCGAUCUAGCUCAGGAUGAACGCUAGCUACAGGCUAACACAUGCAAGUCGAGGGGUAACAGGAGAGAAGCUUGCUUUCUUGCUGACGACCGGCGCACGGGUGAGUAACGCGUAUCCAACCUUCCCCUUAGUAGGGCAUAGCCGUAGAAAUGCGGAUUAAUACCCUAUGUUAUUCGUCGAGGACAUCUGAAGUGAAUCAAAGGUUUACCGCUAAGGGAUGGGGAUGCGUCUGAUUAGGCAGCAGGCGGGGUAACGGCCCACCUGGCCGACGAUCAGUAGGGGUUCUGAGAGGAAGGUCCCCCACAUUGGAACUGAGACACGGUCCAAACUCCUACGGGAGGCAGCAGUGAGGAAUAUUGGUCAAUGGUCGAGAGACUGAACCAGCCAAGUAGCGUGCAGGAUGACGGCCCUAUGGGUUGUAAACUGCUUUUAUGCGGGGAUAAAGUGACGUACGUGUACGUUUUUGUAGGUACCGCAUGAAUAAGGACCGGCUAAUUCCGUGCCAGCAGCCGC